GACGAACGCUGGCGGCGUGCUUAACACAUGCAAGUCGAACGGAAAGGCCCUGCUUUUGUGGGGUGCUCGAGUGGCGAACGGGUGAGUAACACGUGAGUAACCUGCCCUUGACUUUGGGAUAACUUCAGGAAACUGGGGCUAAUACCGGAUAGGAGCUCCUGCUGCAUGGUGGGGGUUGGAAAGUUUCGGCGGUUGGGGAUGGACUCGCGGCUUAUCAGCUUGUUGGUGGGGUAGUGGCUUACCAAGGCUUUGACGGGUAGCCGGCCUGAGAGGGUGACCGGCCACAUUGGGACUGAGAUACGGCCCAGACUCCUACGGGAGGCAGCAGUGGGGAAUAUUGCACAAUGGGCGGAAGCCUGAUGCAGCAACGCCGCGUGCGGGAUGACGGCCUUCGGGUUGUAAACCGCUUUCGCUUGUGACGAAGCGUGAGUGACGGUAAUGGGGAAAGAAGCACCGGCUAACUACGU
RNAcentral lists this ribosomal RNA (467 nucleotides) under uncultured bacterium. Its description in RNAcentral is "partial 16S ribosomal RNA". It matches the Rfam family "Bacterial small subunit ribosomal RNA", at positions 28 to 506 of the family's 1533-position model. The record is from RNAcentral.